UACGUAGGGUGCAAGCGUUAAUCGGAAUUACUGGGCGUAAAGCGUGCGCAGGCGGUUGUGUAAGUCUGACGUGAAAUCCCCGGGCUUAACCUGGGAAUGGCGUUGGAGACUGCACAGCUAGAGUGUGUCAGAGGGGGGUAGAAUUCCACGUGUAGCAGUGAAAUGCGUAGAUAUGUGGAGGAAUACCGAUGGCGAAGGCAGCCCCCUGGGAUAACACUAACGCUCAUGCACGAAAGCGUGGGGAGCAAACAGG
RNAcentral lists this ribosomal RNA (253 nucleotides) under uncultured bacterium. RNAcentral describes it as "partial 16S ribosomal RNA". It matches the Rfam family "Bacterial small subunit ribosomal RNA", at positions 524 to 776 of the family's 1533-position model. The record is from RNAcentral.